Non-coding RNA from Nylanderia fulva, 599 nucleotides. NCBI's taxonomy places the organism in Eukaryota, Metazoa, Arthropoda, Insecta, Hymenoptera, Formicidae. The record is from RefSeq and is a predicted model, not a curated record.
CUCUUACCGACACACUUUGCCCCUGGUUCGAGUCCAGGCUAAUAAAAUCCUUUGAUUUUACCAAAAAACUUUGCCUUUGGUGCGAGUUCAGGCUGAAAUCUUUUUAUUUUACACGUAUAAUCAAAGGAUUUUAGCUUGAACUCGCAGUAGAGGCAAAGUUUUUGGUAAAAUUAAAGGAUUUUAUUAGCCUGGACUCGAACCAGGGGCAAAGUGUGUCGGUAAGGGGCAAAAAUAACGGUCUCCUUUUUAUACAGACCUUUGGCGAUCUGUCUAUUAAUCUGUGUCAGAGAUUGUCUUUUUUGCUCGACAUUGGAAGGGCCUGAGCAGAAUGGCUGACUUAUAACCUUAAAACACUGUUUUAUGCCCUAAGUCUUUGUCUUAGGUAACGCACAAUACUGUGUUAAUGUUUCCUGUCUUGUGUAGUAUACGCGACGUUUUAAGGAAUAAACGUAAAACGUAUAUUAAAAUGAUGUAUAGAAAUAAGCAAUUUUUAUUGCUUGUUUUACAAUGGAUGCUUUUGUAUAAAUUAUUAAAACGAAAAAAAAAACAAAUUAGAUGGUAUAAAAGAAGAUGGUACGUGCGACCAAUAAACCAACUGA